GAUGAACGCUGGCGGCGUGCCUAAUACAUGCAAGUCGAGCGAACGGACGAGAAGCUUGCUUCUCUGAUGUUAGCGGCGGACGGGUGAGUAACACGUGGAUAACCUACCUAUAAGACUGGGAUAACUUCGGGAAACCGGAGCUAAUACCGGAUAAUAUUUUGAACCGCAUGGUUCAAAAGUGAAAGACGGUCUUUCUUUCACUUAUAGAUGGAUCCGCGCUGCAUUAGCUAGUUGGUAAGGUAACGGCUUACCAAGGCAACGAUGCAUAGCCGACCUGAGAGGGUGGUCGGACACACUGGAACUGAGACACAGUACAGACUCCUACGGGAGGAAGCAGUAGGGAAUCUUCCGCAAUGGGCGAAAGCCUGACGGAGCAACGCCGCGUGAGGGAUGAAGGUCUUCGGCUCGUAAAACUAUGUUAUUCGGGAAGAACAUAUGUGUAAGUAACUGUGCACAUCUUGACGGUACCUAAUCAGAAAGCCACGGCUAACUACGUG
Molecule: ribosomal RNA, 497 nt
Filed under: uncultured bacterium
Lineage: Bacteria
Description: partial 16S ribosomal RNA
Rfam family: Bacterial small subunit ribosomal RNA
Source: RNAcentral